ACUGGAGAGGGGGGUCCCUCAGCCAGGAUUGCGAGAGGGCCAGGCCAGGCCAAGGGACCCCACUUGUGCACG
Molecule: microRNA precursor, 72 nt
Filed under: Myotis lucifugus (little brown bat)
Lineage: Eukaryota; Metazoa; Chordata; Mammalia; Chiroptera; Vespertilionidae
Description: mir-9193 microRNA precursor family
Rfam family: mir-9193 microRNA precursor family
Source: Rfam by way of RNAcentral